This 727-nucleotide long non-coding RNA is filed under the name Equus caballus (horse). RNAcentral's name for it is "lncRNA (ENSECAG00000056138.1)". The record is from RNAcentral. Lineage: Eukaryota; Metazoa; Chordata; Mammalia; Perissodactyla; Equidae.
UUACUGGGAAUCAGUGUCUUUGGAAAAUACUGUAGUCUCUACUAAGAGGUGUGACUGCUUCUUUGACCUCCUUCCAGGUGCACAAGUAGCCUACCAGGGUCUGCCACAGAUUCCCAGGAGCCACCACAGGUUCUAGAGCAAUCUACCACAGAGUGGGAAAGAAAGUCGCUUCCUCUGUUACAUCAAAGUAGUUUUGGCUGUGCCCUGAUACCAGAGAGGUGAUGAUCCUCUUCUUGGGAACACAGACCGAAGGCCAUGGGAACAGCUGAGAGUAUUCUCAAAUGACAGAUUUGGGAUCGCUCUUCUUUGUCCCUAAGACCUUACUACAAGGAGAAGCUUGAGGCGCUGAGAUGCAGGAGUCGAUUCGUUACCACAGCAUCAUCUAGCCCAUCCUGACUAAUGCUCAUGGCUUCUUCCCUCCUCUGUGAGCAAGGACUUUUGCCUGGUUGCAUCAGCACCUACUGAUUUCCAAGGAAGUUCAAAAGCAAGGAUGGUCAUGCAUGGGGCAGGAGGCCAGCCUUAGUGCUCUGGGAGACGAGAGGCCAAGGGCAAGCCUGCAGACACUGCAGGGAACAGGGCAGGAGCCAUGAAAGGCGCAAGCCCAUCCAUGGGGAGGACCCACUGAAGAGUCGAUUGACAAAUUUAUAGCUGAUGAUGUUCCUCCAAUUUAAAGAUUCCUGCUGCCCCUCUUUGCUCCUCCAAAUCCAAGCUUCAAGGCCCAAGUUAG